Molecule: small nuclear RNA, 108 nt
Organism: Suncus etruscus (white-toothed pygmy shrew)
Lineage: Eukaryota; Metazoa; Chordata; Mammalia; Eulipotyphla; Soricidae
Source: RefSeq, a predicted model, not a curated record
UUGCUCGCUUCGGCAGCACAUAUACUACAAAUUGGAACGAUACAGAGAAGAUUGGCAUGGCUUCUGCGCAAGGAUGACACACAAAUUUGUGAAGCAUUUCAUAUUUUU